Long non-coding RNA from Nyctereutes procyonoides (raccoon dog), 678 nucleotides. RefSeq lists it as uncharacterized. The transcript has 4 exons. NCBI's taxonomy places the organism in Eukaryota, Metazoa, Chordata, Mammalia, Carnivora, Canidae. The record is from RefSeq and is a predicted model, not a curated record.
GAAAAAGCAGGUUAUGGAGCAAGACCAAGACAAACGAGUAUGGAGUAUCGCCUGAGCAGACAACACUUUUGCCCUGCUGGAAGCCACUGUGAUGCUGGGUAAAAGGCAAGCCUGCUAGGACUAAUUGGAAGAAGGUGAUCCAGAUCCAGAAGGGGCAGGAAAAGUCUUGAACCACAAAUGCUUGGAGGAACUGGGAAGAUUCAUCCUAGAGAAGAGAAAGUAGCAGACUGGAAAGACAGGAACCUGGGAAUGAAAUCCUCCCUUUGCUCUGGUCCGGUUGUGUAGGGCACACAACCUCAAGGCACCUAAAAGGCACUCACAACUGUCUGUGACUGAUUUUGUGAAUUUAUUUGUGGGGUUUUAUUUAUUUAUUCAUGAGAGACACACGGAGAGAGGCAGAGACACAGGCAGAGGGAGAGGCAGGUUCCCUGUGUGGAGCUGAUGCAGAACUCAAUCCCAGGACCCUGGGAUCACAUGAAGGCAGCUGCACGACCGCUGAGCCACUCGGGCAUCCCUGCUUUAAUAUUCUUGGACUGAAAAGAGUAGAGAAAACUUUCUAACGCCCUAUUCACAUUAUUAUUCAAAUAUUUUCUUGGAAAUUAAAGCACCCCUAAUAUUUGGCCAAUUUAUGGAUCGGUUUAUGACUCAGAAAGCAAAAUAGACAUGUGUAUAUAAUAG